UGGCAAACUCGCCUGUGAAGAGGCUUC
RNAcentral lists this non-coding RNA (27 nucleotides) under Homo sapiens (human). The record is from RNAcentral. Lineage: Eukaryota; Metazoa; Chordata; Mammalia; Primates; Hominidae.